AUGAACGCUAGCGGCAGGCUUAACACAUGCAAGUCGAGGGGCAGCAUGACACGGAGAUUCGUCGAAGUGUCGAUGGCGACCGGCGCAAGGGUGCGUAACGCGUGAGCAACUUGCCCGUUUCAGGGGGAUAACCGGUGGAAACGCCGACUAAUACCCCAUAGCAUCAGUUUGAGGCAUCUCAUACUGAUUAAAGAAUUUCGGAAACGGAUAGGCUCGCGUGACAUUAGCUAGAUGGCGGGUAACGGCCCACCAUGGCGACGAUGUCUAGGGGUUCUGAGAGGAAGGUCCCCCACACUGGUACUGAGACACGGACCAGACUCCUACGGGAGGCAGCAGUGAGGAAUAUUGGUCAAUGGGCGGAAGCCUGAACCAGCCAAGUAGCGUGAAGGAUUACAGCCCUACGGGUUGUAAACUUCUUUUGUCGUGGAACAAAACCUGCCACGUGUGGCAGUUUGCGUGUACACGUUGAAUAAGCAUCGGCUAACUCCGUG
This 491-nucleotide ribosomal RNA is filed under the name uncultured bacterium. Its description in RNAcentral is "bacterial SSU rRNA". It matches the Rfam family "Bacterial small subunit ribosomal RNA", at positions 29 to 507 of the family's 1533-position model. The record is from RNAcentral.